CCCAGACAGCCAGGAUGUUGGCUUAGAAGCAGCCAUCAUUUAAAGAAAGCGUAAUAGCUCACUGGUCGAGUCGGCCUGCGCGGAAGAUGUAACGGGGCUAAACCAUGCACCGAAGCUGCGGCAGCGACACUGUGUGUUGUUGGGUAGGGGAGCGUUCUGUAAGCCUGUGAAGGUGUGUCGUGAGGCAUGCUGGAGGUAUCAGAAGUGCGAAUGCUGACAUAAGUAACGAUAAAGCGGGUGAAAAGCCCGCUCGCCGGAAGACCAAGGGUUCCUGUCCAACGUUAAUCGGGGCAGGGUGAGUCGACCCCUAAGGCGAGGCCGAAAGGCGUAGUCGAUGGGAAACAGGUUAAUAUUCCUGUACUUGGUGUUACUGCGAAGGGGGGACGGAGAAGGCUAUGUUGGCCGGGCGACGGUUGUCCCGGUUUAAGCGUGUAGGUGUGUGUUCCAGGUAAAUCCGGUUCACUUUAACACUGAGGCGUGACGACGAGGCACUACGGUGCUGAAGCAACAAAUGCCCUGCUUCCAGGAAAAGCCUCUAAGCAUCAGGUAACACGAAAUCGUACCCCAAACCGACACAGGUGGUCAGGUAGAGAAUAC
This 597-nucleotide ribosomal RNA is filed under the name Salmonella enterica subsp. enterica serovar Anatum. RNAcentral describes it as "partial 23S ribosomal RNA". It matches the Rfam family "Bacterial large subunit ribosomal RNA", at positions 1084 to 1681 of the family's 2925-position model. The record is from RNAcentral. Lineage: Bacteria; Pseudomonadati; Pseudomonadota; Gammaproteobacteria; Enterobacterales; Enterobacteriaceae.